UUUAGGUCCCUUGCCCUUUGUACACACCGCCCGUCGCUACUACCGAUUGAAUGGCUCAGUGAGGCCUUCGGACUGGCCCAGGGAGGUUGGCAACGACCGCCCAGGGCCGGAAAGUUGGUCAAACUCGGUCAUUUAGAGGAAGUAAAAGUCGUAACAAGGUUUCCGUAGGUGAACCUGCGGAAGGAUCAUUA
This 191-nucleotide ribosomal RNA is filed under the name Arthroderma borellii. Its description in RNAcentral is "partial 18S ribosomal RNA". It matches the Rfam family "Eukaryotic small subunit ribosomal RNA", at positions 1644 to 1831 of the family's 1831-position model. The record is from RNAcentral. Lineage: Eukaryota; Fungi; Ascomycota; Eurotiomycetes; Onygenales; Arthrodermataceae.